RNAcentral lists this ribosomal RNA (414 nucleotides) under Metabacillus idriensis. RNAcentral describes it as "bacterial SSU rRNA". It matches the Rfam family "Bacterial small subunit ribosomal RNA", at positions 58 to 461 of the family's 1533-position model. The record is from RNAcentral. Lineage: Bacteria; Bacillati; Bacillota; Bacilli; Caryophanales; Bacillaceae.
CAAGUCGAGCGGACUUGCUGGAGCUUGCUCCACCAGGUUAGCCGGCGGACGGGUGAGUAACACGUGGGCAACCUGCCUGUAAGACUGGGAUAACUCCGGGAAACCGGAGCUAAUACCGGAUAGUAUCUUGAACCGCAUGGUUCAAGUUGGAAAGACGGUUUCGGCUGUCACUUACAGAUGGGCCCGCGGCGCAUUAGCUAGUUGGUGAGGUAAUGGCUCACCAAGGCAACGAUGCGUAGCCGACCUGAGAGGGUGAUCGGCCACACUGGGACUGAGACACGGCCCAGACUCCUACGGGAGGCAGCAGUAGGGAAUCUUCCGCAAUGGACGAAAGUCUGACGGAGCAACGCCGCGUGAGUGAUGAAGGUUUUCGGAUCGUAAAACUCUGUUGUUAGGGAAGAACAAGUGCGAGAG